This 877-nucleotide ribosomal RNA is filed under the name Leuconostoc lactis. Its description in RNAcentral is "bacterial SSU rRNA". It matches the Rfam family "Bacterial small subunit ribosomal RNA", at positions 28 to 886 of the family's 1533-position model. The record is from RNAcentral. Lineage: Bacteria; Bacillati; Bacillota; Bacilli; Lactobacillales; Lactobacillaceae.
GAUGAACGCUGGCGGCGUGCCUAAUACAUGCAAGUCGAACGCGCAGCGAGAGGUGCUUGCACCUUUCAAGCGAGUGGCGAACGGGUGAGUAACACGUGGACAACCUGCCUCAAGGCUGGGGAUAACAUUUGGAAACAGAUGCUAAUACCGAAUAAAACUUAGUAUCGCAUGAUAUCAAGUUAAAAGGCGCUACGGCGUCACCUAGAGAUGGAUCCGCGGUGCAUUAGUUAGUUGGUGGGGUAAAGGCUUACCAAGACGAUGAUGCAUAGCCGAGUUGAGAGACUGAUCGGCCACAUUGGGACUGAGACUCGGCCCAAACUCCUACGGGAGGCUGCAGUAGGGAAUCUUCCACAAUGGGCGCAAGCCUGAUGGAGCAACGCCGCGUGUGUGAUGAAGGCUUUCGGGUCGUAAAGCACUGUUGUAUGGGAAGAAAUGCUAAAAUAGGGAAUGAUUUUAGUUUGACGGUACCAUACCAGAAAGGGACGGCUAAAUACGUGCCAGCAGCCGCGGUAAUACGUAUGUCCCGAGCGUUAUCCGGAUUUAUUGGGCGUAAAGCGAGCGCAGACGGUUGAUUAAGUCUGAUGUGAAAGCCCGGAGCUCAACUCCGGAAUGGCAUUGGAAACUGGUUAACUUGAGUGUUGUAGAGGUAAGUGGAACUCCAUGUGUAGCGGUGGAAUGCGUAGAUAUAUGGAAGAACACCAGUGGCGAAGGCGGCUUACUGGACAACAACUGACGUUGAGGCUCGAAAGUGUGGGUAGCAAACAGGAUUAGAUACCCUGGUAGUCCACACCGUAAACGAUGAAUACUAGGUGUUAGGAGGUUUCCGCCUCUUAGUGCCGAAGCUAACGCAUUAAGUAUUCCGCCUGGGGAGUACGAC